RNAcentral lists this ribosomal RNA (492 nucleotides) under uncultured bacterium. Its description in RNAcentral is "partial 16S ribosomal RNA". It matches the Rfam family "Bacterial small subunit ribosomal RNA", at positions 29 to 507 of the family's 1533-position model. The record is from RNAcentral.
AGUGAACGCUGGCGGUAGGCCUAACACAUGCAAGUCGAACGGCAGCACAGUAAGAGCUUGCUCUUACGGGUGGCGAGUGGCGGACGGGUGAGGAAUACAUCGGAAUCUACUUUUUCGUGGGGGAUAACGUAGGGAAACUUACGCUAAUACCGCAUACGACCUACGGGUGAAAGCAGGGGAUCUUCGGACCUUGCGCGAUUGAAUGAGCCGAUGUCGGAUUAGCUAGUUGGCGGGGUAAAGGCCCACCAAGGCGACGAUCCGUAGCUGGUCUGAGAGGAUGAUCAGCCACACUGGAACUGAGACACGGUCCAGACUCCUACGGGAGGCGGCAGUGGGGAAUAUUGGACAAUGGGCGCAAGCCUGAUCCAGCCAUACCGCGUGGGUGAAGAAGACCUUCGGGUUGUAAAGCCCUUUUGUUGGGAAAGAAAAGCAGCAGGUUAAUACCCCGCUGUUCUGACGGUACCCAAAGAAUAAGCACCGGCUAACUUCGUG